AUUUAAAUAGUUUAUGUAAAAUAUUAGUAUUGUGGGUCUAAAGAUAUAAUUAUUUUAAAUU
This 61-nucleotide transfer RNA is filed under the name Xenos yangi. RNAcentral's name for it is "tRNA-His". The record is from RNAcentral. Lineage: Eukaryota; Metazoa; Arthropoda; Insecta; Strepsiptera; Xenidae.